Molecule: ribosomal RNA, 360 nt
Filed under: Chryseobacterium sp. 079-1.1-CV-C(h)-04
Lineage: Bacteria; Pseudomonadati; Bacteroidota; Flavobacteriia; Flavobacteriales; Weeksellaceae
Description: bacterial SSU rRNA
Rfam family: Bacterial small subunit ribosomal RNA
Source: RNAcentral
GGUUUCCUUCGGGAGACUGAGAGCGGCGCACGGGUGCGGAACACGUGUGCAACCUGCCUUUAUCAGGGGGAUAGCCUUUCGAAAGGAAGAUUAAUACCCCAUAAUAUUUUGAGUGGCAUCACUUGAAAUUGAAAACUCCGGUGGAUAAAGAUGGGCACGCGCAAGAUUAGAUAGUUGGUGAGGUAACGGCUCACCAAGUCUACGAUCUUUAGGGGGCCUGAGAGGGUGAUCCCCCACACUGGUACUGAGACACGGACCAGACUCCUACGGGAGGCAGCAGUGAGGAAUAUUGGACAAUGGGUGAGAGCCUGAUCCAGCCAUCCCGCGUGAAGGACGACGGCCCUAUGGGUUGUAAACUUC